RNAcentral lists this signal recognition particle RNA (302 nucleotides) under Saimiri boliviensis boliviensis (Bolivian squirrel monkey). RNAcentral describes it as "Metazoan signal recognition particle RNA (ENSSBOG00000016567.1)". It matches the Rfam family "Metazoan signal recognition particle RNA". Rfam says of the family: The signal recognition particle (SRP) is a universally conserved ribonucleoprotein. It is involved in the co-translational targeting of proteins to membranes. The record is from RNAcentral. Lineage: Eukaryota; Metazoa; Chordata; Mammalia; Primates; Cebidae.
GCCGGGCAUGGUGGUGGAGCGUGCCUGUAGUCCCAGCUACUUGGAAGGCUGAGGUGGGAGAAUUGCUUGAGCCCAGGAGUUCUAGGCUGUAGUGCGCUAUGCUGAUUGGGUGUCUGUACUAAGUUUGACAUCAAUGUGAUGACCUCCCAGGAGUGGGGGACCACAAGGUUGCCUAAGGAGGGGUGAACCAGUCCAGGUUGGAAACAGAGCAGGUCAAAACUCCGGUGCUGAUCGAUAGUGGGAUUGCGCCUGUGAAUAGCCACUGCACUCCAGUUUGGGCAACAUAGUGAGCCUCCUCUUUA